RNAcentral lists this long non-coding RNA (2012 nucleotides) under Sus scrofa (pig). Its description in RNAcentral is "lncRNA (ENSSSCG00035033311.1)". The record is from RNAcentral. Lineage: Eukaryota; Metazoa; Chordata; Mammalia; Artiodactyla; Suidae.
AAUAAAGUACGUUUUAUUUAUGCAUAUAUAGUAUAGGUAUGUAUAAUACUUCAAAACAAAAUGUAUAAGAAAGAGAGUUUAAAUAGCCUGUCCAAAAUUAUAUUGUUAAGAAAGCAAAGAUUUGACAAGAUUGUAAUUGACUCAGGCAGCCUCCAUCAAGGGCUCAUGGCCUGACCACCCCGCUGCCCACUUAAACCUGUCACGUGCUGGCCAUAGGGGCAGGACAUGGACAAAGGGCAGGAUACAAUAAGCCCUCUCAGGACCUACUGGUGGAUGUUUAAGUCAUUACAGAAUUUCUGGACAGAAAUCUGUGACAUUAUUAAUAAGUCUUUAAAAUGUGCAUAUCCUUUAAUUUGGCAAUCUCAUAGCUAGAAAUUUACUCUAAGAAAAUAAUCAGAUGAGUAUUCAAAACAGUCUUAUCAGUGACUACAACUGUGAAACUGUGAACCCCACUUAAGUAUCCAAUAAUAAUGGAUUCAUUAAAAUAAUUAUUCAGGUAGAAACAGAUUUAUAUAUACAGAGACAUAGAUAUAGACAUAGAUAUUUCUGAACUUGUAUGUAUUUUAAGAGGUGGGGGAAUACAGGCUAUUUCAGAUGCUCCCAUUUAUCAAAGAAAUUAUAGGUAUGUAGAAAUGUGUCUGGAAAUAUGUUUAAUUCACUCCAGAAACAAGGCAGCACUGUAUAGUGGUUACAUGCACCCACCCUGCAGCCAAUAACCUAAGUGAAUCCUAGGUUACCAGUCAUACGGACUUGGCAGAUCAUGUAUGCUCUCUCAGUGGAAAAGGAUGCUAUGAAGAAAAAUGCAGCAGGGUAAGGAGAAUAGGGAGUGAUGGGCUGAGGGCUGGUACAUAUGUUAGAGUGGUUAUGGGAGGCCUCCAUAAGGUCUCAAGAAAAGAAAAACAAAACUGUAAGACAUGAGGGAGCAAAGAGCAAGCACCCCAAACAUCCAGGGAAUAGAAUUCCAAGCAGGAGGAACUGCAAAUGCAAAAGCCUGAGGCUGGGGAAUUUGUGGAGUGUUCUGGGAGGCCAUAACAGAGUGGAUUAUUUCCAACUGUUCUUAGUGGAAUUCAUGGAGCUGGUUUUCUUUUCAUACUUGUUUGGAUUUUUGCAAUUAGCAUGAAGUACUUUUACAAUUAGCAUGAAGUACCUGCACAAUAGAAAACGGCAAAAAUAUUCCCAUUUGGAAAGAGAACAUAGCGAGUUACUCUCUUUGCCAUUACUCUCUCCGAUGAGUAUUAUCAGCAUUCCAUUUCUUAAAAAUACAUGCUCAUACCUUCUGAGCAAAAUUCAAAGCCAUCUGUUUAUUCAGGCUCUCAUGAGAGGGUCUAGCAGUGAGGUUGUGUGCUUCCAAUUCUGUUUGGGACAGGGCUGUUUCAAUGCUUUGCUCUUUACCUUGCCUCCACCCUCCAAACACAUUUGAUUAGAAACCAUUUUUAACUUUAAAUGACUUUUUUUAAAUUGGCAUUUCCCUCAUGUGCCAAAAGUAAUGAGCAUAUAUUUUAAAAGAAGCAAAUGAAUUUGAUAAAAUAUUUUGCUUGGCUUAGAAAUAUUUUUAGUCGUUUAUUAACUGCAAAAUAAUCCCCUACUGAAUGCCAGAGAUCCUGUGCAAGAUGUUGCCUGGGGCUAAAUAAUAUGUGUUCACCUUUUAAUCACACUGACAGGGAGAAAUGGAAAGUCAGUCCACCUGUAUUCAACAUACAGUCUUUAUUUUAAUGGAGAGGUGCUGAAGCGUGAAUAGUACAAAAUAUCAGAUAAUUCAAAAAAUGUUUAUGAUUUUGUUGGGGGAUAUUGUGUAACUUACACUAUAGGUAUUGCCAGCAAAUCUUGAAAUUCAUUCUCAUUCAAGUCAUAAAACCACCCUGUGAAAACCUGAUGUAAGUUGAAAGUCCCUGUCUUACUCCUCUUCUCUAUUUGGGCUGAUCUUCGAGCUACUGAUUGAUACUAUUCUUUCCUUUCAGACCAUCUAUUCACCAUUUCGAGAGCCAUGGCUGGGAAAAAAAAAAAAAAAAAAA